Alligator sinensis (Chinese alligator) is the source of this 2694-nucleotide long non-coding RNA. RefSeq lists it as uncharacterized. NCBI's taxonomy places the organism in Eukaryota, Metazoa, Chordata, Crocodylia, Alligatoridae. The transcript is spliced from 4 exons. The record is from RefSeq and is a predicted model, not a curated record.
AGUGAGAGAGCCUAGUGGAUCCUGGGAGCCUGUAAUUAUGUUGUUUCUUAAAUGUUGUAAAGGUGAGGGAGUUGCAGGGACAUUGGAGGGGAGAUCUGAGCUCUGAGAACUUUCUCAUGCCAGCAGGGAGAGUAAGAGAAGAGGCAGAGACCCUAAGUGUUAAGGGAAUGAGGGGACAAAGCAUACAGCUGGGAUUGGAGCUAAGCUGGAGGAGGGUGGCCUGAGUGUUGAGAAAGGAGGGGAGCUCUCAGAGGUGCAGCUUGGUUUUAGAAAACACUGCUGUUUUGUAAGGACCAUGUAGCAAUUUGAGGGAACCCUGAGCUGUUCCAGACACACUGCCUUUUGCCAUCCGCAGGGAAGGGGCAGCAUUCCCAACCGUCAUGCAAGGAAAGCUCAGGAGGUGUGUUUUGCACCAGGAUGGGGAGUGUCCGACAAGCUCAAGCCACACUCUCCCAGCUCAUAUCUUCAACUUUCCUGCUUCCUGCCCCCUUCCUCCAAAGUGUGCUGGGAGGUUCUUAUUUGCAUAUGCAAAUUGGGAUGCAUGCUCCUUCCCCAAAAGUUCUUGUUCAGUUAGUCAUGUGGCCUGUUCCCUUGGUUGUUUCUUGGGACUGUCCUUACCCCUGUGGUAUGAGGAUGCAAGCAACAGGAGUCUUGUCUGCAUACAUGCAGAUGUUCCAUCAGUGGUUCCCAUUUUAUGAGUGAAUUAAAAAUGGAAAGAGGAAGCCACAGCACAGAAGUGAGGGAGGUUUGAGGACUUUGUGUUGAGGCCUCUGUUGAUGGGUCAGGGAGGCAGGAGGCGUGGGGCAGGUAGUUAAACUGCACAGCCCAAGGGAGGACGAUAACUGAGAGGGGGAGGAGUGUACGUCUGACACCUUGUGGUUCAUCUGGGGGGAGGAUGAGAGAGAGCACGAGCUGAAUGCCAGACGCCCUGGCAGCUGGAAGGGGAAAAGUUGCCAAAGCUGGAGUGAGCGUGGAGAGGCCCCUUCCCCUGCACUGUGUCCUCUGCUCCCCUGUUUCUAGCGUGGCUCUGUUCUGUCAAACCUCUUGUUUCCUCUAUAUUUUGUAACGUCCGCCACUUGCCCCCAUUUGUUUGUGAGGGGGAACCAAGGUGAAAGCAAAGCAUCAUGGGGCUCAACAUGCCAAGGGCGGGGAGCUAGUUUAGCAUUGCUUUUUAAUUUGCUGUAGGGAUAAACCAAUCGGAUCUUUGUCAGGAAGAUAGAGUCUCAUUGGAGGGGUGGGGCAUUUUUUGCGGGUGGGGGGGUUGUUUGUUUUUUUAAGUGGGGGGUGGGAAGGGGGUCGUCAUUGCGUGUUCCCAAGAGGAGUGAGGAAUCUCAGAGCCGACUUCAGCACGGAGUUAGUCAGUGGUUCUCUCCAUUGCCCCAGGAUACGAAUGGUAUGAUCAGGAAGCAUGGAUUGAUUUGGUUUCUGUGGAGUGUAGCAGCAGAGAUGACCUCCCUUCAGGUGCCAAUCAGUGCUUUGCAGGGGGAAGUUACCAAGAGUUGGACCCAUGGAAAUGGUUUGUGGUCACUUGGCUUUUAGGAGAACCCUGGAAACACCAUCUGGAAGACAAAAACAAGCCAAGAUGGCUCCUUUGCGUAUUCAAGCACUCCUCAUUUGCAUAUUCAUUUUGCCUUGUUUUGCGUAUUCAGUUGCGCCUUGUUUGCAUAUGUAAAUACAUGCCGGUCAGUGUGCAAAUUAGCCUCACCCCCCACCAACACCCUCUGAAAUAAAUGUGCAUCAUCAGCGAGCGGGAUGGCAUUGGCUCGGACACAUGGAGUUAAAGGCAGGGCACUGGAACUCUGCACUGCCCGCAGGAGCAAAGGGGCGCAAUCAGCGGAGAUCGGCCCGCUGUGGGGAGGAGCUCUUCGCUCGUCACGUCCUUCCGUGGCCGUGCAGCCCACGAUGCUUUGUGUCAAGGGUAGGGGAGAGGGGGGCGUGGUCUCACGAGUUUAUUUUUGUGCAUGCUUUCUUAAUAAAAACAAAAAGUGAAUGUUUAUGGUUUAACCCUCUUGGAGCCAGUAUCAAAUUAUUUUUUCAGUGGCGGCCGCUUGGGUUCAACACAGGAGUGGUUGACUUUUUAUUAUGAAGACAUGGGUGGGACUUUUCUGUUUUCACUGCCUGUGAUACAGGGAUUGUCUAUCAUUGGCUCCUUUGUGGAGGAUUGACUCAGAAGAGAUGUGUCUUGCACCAUUUCUUGGAACGGCAAAGAGGGGCUCAUUCUGCUCUCUACCAGCGGAAACUUCUGAGCUCCAGAUGCAGCAAGCAGGCUGUGCAGAGGAACCUUCCCCACUGAGCCUGCCUUCUAAGAGGAUGCAGGAAACAUCUGUCUUGCAGACACUGAACUCAACAGAAACACUUUUCACAUGGGUACGAAGGCCUUCGUACCAGCAGUGCUGAUGGAUGUGGAGUACACAGCCUGGAGACAUUCCAUCAUUGAACCUGCCAGAAGGACCACCAGGAAGGUCAGAUAACUCUAAAGGGAUGAUGGCAUCGGUCAUUGUGAAUGGGUCAACAUCAGGAGGGCUGUCAGGAGGCUCAGAGGACUUGAAAUCAGGUUGUAGUCACACUUUGUUUUGCCAGAUUUAUCUACAGAGGUCUCUCGGUACAGGAAGACUGGAGAGCACAUAACAAAAGCCAGGAUCCAGAUGAUAGCGCAUGUCACCCACGCAAACCUGACUGUGCGACGGUUUUGAC